GAUGAACGCUGACAGAAUGCUUAACACAUGCAAGUCUUUGGCGAAGCUGUGCUUGCACAGCCUAGCCAAGGCGGACGGGUGAGUAACGCGUAAGGAACUUGCCCUGCAGUCAGGGAUAACAGACGGAAACGACUGAUAAGACCUGGUAAAGUCAGGCGGACUCAUGUCCAGCCUGAUGAAAAGAGAUGCUGCAGGAGAGCCUUGCGUCCUAUUAGCUUGUUGGUGGGGUAACGGCCCACCACGGCGAUGAUAGGUAGCCGGCCUGAGAGGGUGGACGGCCACAAGGGGACUGAGAUACGGCACUUACUCCUGCGGGAGGCAGCAGUGGGGAAUAUUGGACAAUGGGGGCAACCCUGAUCCAGCAAUUCUGUGUGCAAGAUGAAGGUUUUCGGAUUGUAAAGUGCUUUCAGCAGGGAAGAAAAAAAUGACGGUACCUGCAGAAGAAGCGACGGCUAAAUACGUG
RNAcentral lists this ribosomal RNA (463 nucleotides) under uncultured bacterium. RNAcentral's name for it is "partial 16S ribosomal RNA". It matches the Rfam family "Bacterial small subunit ribosomal RNA", at positions 28 to 507 of the family's 1533-position model. The record is from RNAcentral.